AUACGGGAGGCAGCAGUGGGGAAUUUUGGACAAUGGGCGCAAGCCUGAUCCAGCCAUGCCGCGUGAGUGAAGAAGGCCUUCGGGUUGUAAAGCUCUUUCGGCGGGGAAGAAAUCGCAUUCUCUAAUACAAAGUGUGGAUGACGGUACCCGAAUAAGAAGCACCGGCUAACUACGUGCCAGCAGCCGCGGUAAUACGUAGGGUGCGAGCGUUAAUCGGAAUUACUGGGCGUAAAGCGUGCGCAGGCGGUUUUGUAAGUCAGAUGUGAAAUCCCCGGGCUCAACCUGGGAACUGCAUUUGAGACUGCAAGGCUAGAGUGUGGCAGAGGGGGGUGGAAUUCCACGUGUAGCAGUGAAAUGCGUAGAGAUGUGGAGGAACACCGAUGGCGAGGGCAGCCCCCUGGGCCAAUACUGACGCUCAUGCACGAAAGCGUGGGGAGCAAACAGGAUUAGAAACCCUAGUAGUCCC
This 466-nucleotide ribosomal RNA is filed under the name uncultured bacterium. Its description in RNAcentral is "bacterial SSU rRNA". It matches the Rfam family "Bacterial small subunit ribosomal RNA", at positions 339 to 797 of the family's 1533-position model. The record is from RNAcentral.